GGUCGUUCCCAAACUUGCUCGAAAUGCAUCCGUAGAAAAACCUUUUGCCAAAGCUUGAGUUUUUCACUUCUUUUGGAGUUUCAAAGGGGGAUCUUGCAAAAACUGAAGCUUUUGGCUACGAGCUUGGAGAAACGGAUUGCACCCACUUAUGAUUUCCUUAGGAGUCUGCUUUCUCAGAAAAAUGCUGUUUCCGUUUUAAGGCGCGGCUCCUGGAUUUUCGCUGAAGGACACUCCAAGAAGGUGGCACCAAAUAUUGAGGUUUUGAAAGAAUCAGGUAUACCCCAAUCCUGCAUUUCUCAUUUGCUUGCUUAUCACCCCAAGGUUUUUAUGCGAAAGCCUAAAGAGCUUGGUGGACUUGUGGAUGAGGUUAAGCAAAUGGGUUUUAAUCUGCAAAAAUCAAAUUCGGUACUCGCAAUAUAGGCAUUGUGUGGUAACAAUAGGUCUAUAUGGAAUCGAAGUCGCCAACUUUAUAAGAGGUGGGGUUGGUCUAAGGAUGAUGUUCUCUCUGCUUUCAGGCGGCACCCGCGCUGUAUGACUAUGUCGGAGAAGAAACUAAUACUAGCAAUGGAUUUUUUAGUGAACGAGAUGGGGUGGUCUUAAAAAAUGAUUGCAAAACGGCCACUGGUCCUCCGUUACAGUUUGGAGAAGAGGUUGGUUCCAAGGUGUUCGGUUGCUAAAGUUUUGUUGUUGAAAGGAUUGAUAAAGGGGAUUGAAAAUGUGAGUUUGAGUUCCUUGUUGGAGCCCGUGGAAAAGUGUUUCUUGGUGAGGUUUGUAGCCAGAUAUAUAAAUGAAGUACCUCAGUUAUUGAGUGUGUAUCAAGGAAAAGUUGGAAUCCAGGAUGUAUGAUGUUCGUUGGUCAAAAGAGGUUAGAUAUUCGUUAUAAUUUGAGCCGCCUUGGUGUUGUAUCGUAGAUGCAGUGCUGUUCAUUUCAUUGGUAGCAGCUAACUUUUGGCUCAACAAUGUUGAUUAUUCUUGACUUUGUUCGUGUGGGAACUGCCUUCGGUAGACUCUACACUUAUGCUUCUUCUGUUGGGGUUUUAUUUAAUCCAUUGUAUGCAUUGUGUUGAACUAAUUGGUCCAUAUGAGAUUGAAGCCGCCAAGUUUAAAGACGUGGGGUUGGUCUGACGAUGAUGUUCUCUCUGCUUUCAAGCGGUACCACACAGUAUGCUUGUGUCCGAGAGGAAACAAAUGCUAGCAAUGGAGUUUUAAGUGAACCAGAUUGGAUGUCCGUCAACAACUAUUGCCAAGUACCCAAAGGUCCUCGGUUUCAGUUUUGAGAAGAGUUUGGUUCCAAAGUGUUCUGUUGUUUUGGUUUUGUUAUUGAAAGGAUUGAUGAAUGAGAUUGAAAAUGUAGAGCACGUCUUGGCGAGGUUUGUAUCGGGAUAUGUAGGUGAUGUACCCCAAAUAUAUAGUGUAUAUAUAAAGGAAAAGUUGAAGUUGAGGAUGUAAAAUGUUGGUAGUAUAACAAUUUUGUCCCCCUUGAUGUAGAUGCAGCACCGCUUUUGGCUCACUAUCUUUCAAAUUAUAAGAUGAUUAGCAUCCGCAGAUCUUUAUCACACUGGAAGCCACCUUUUCAUUGUCCUACUAGUACAAACACACGUCGGUCGUAUUUUAAACUUUGUACCUUACUGCUCCAGUGCAGACUUCAGUGCUUCUUGGCGAGCUUUCGUCUUAUUUUGUUUAAGUUCAUCCAAUUUUCGUUCAUUCCGCAAAUACUAAAGCCUAAAGAUCUUGGUCAACUUGUGGAUGAGGUUAAGCAAAUGGGUUUUAACCUGCAAAAAUCAACUUCUGUGAUGGCAAUAAAAGCAUAGUGUGCUGCCACUAGGUCUACAUGGAAUCGAAGUCACGAAGUUUAUAAGAGGUGGGGUUGGUCUGAGGAUGAUGUUCUCUCUGCUUUCAAGCGAUACCCCCAUUGUAUGAUGGUGUCCAAGAAGAAACUAAUUCUCACAAUGGAGUUUUUAGUGAAAAAGAUGGGAUGGCCGUCGGUAAUGAUUGCGAAAUCACCAGUGGUCACGUGUUACAGUUUGGAGAAGAGAUUUAUACCCCAGUGUUCAGUUGUUAAAGUUUUGUUGCUGAAAGGAUGAUAAACGGGAUUGAAAAUGUGAGUUUGGGUUCUGUGUUGGUGCCUCCGGAGAAGUGCUUCUUGGAGAGGUUUGUGGCCAGAUAUAUAGAUGAAGUUCCUCAGUUAUUGAGUGUGUAUCAAGGAAGAGUUGAAGUCCAGGAUGUAUGAUGUUCGAAGGUCAAAAGAGGUUGGAUAUUCGUUGUAACUUGAGACGCCUUGAUGUAGUAUCGUAGAUGUAGUUCUGUUCAAUUCCAUUGGUAGCAGCUAACUUUUGGCUCAGCAUUGUAAGUUUGUGUUCUUAACUAGUGUUCUAUAUUUCUCUAGAAAUGAAUUCAUUGAGAUUUGACCUGCUCC
Molecule: non-coding RNA, 2416 nt
Organism: Malus domestica (apple)
Lineage: Eukaryota; Viridiplantae; Streptophyta; Magnoliopsida; Rosales; Rosaceae
Source: RefSeq, a predicted model, not a curated record